UAACUGAAAAUUGGCAUGAAAUUAUGUGCAUUUGAAGGACUAGCAGACGCAGGUCAGCUAAGCCUAGUUGAAUCCUUCUCCCAGAAGAAUUAGUGGAAGUCUGUGCACCAACUGCUAAAACCAGGGAGGCUUUGGUCAUUCCCACUCGAGUUCUUCCCUUUUUUAUUGUAACCAUGGUAACUCAUUAAACUAAUCUGUUUCUGCACUUUGACAUGAUACAUGAACUCUCAAGUGAGGCCAUGCAAUGAAGCUCAUUUGUCUACAGCAUUGGCCCCCAAGGAAAGAUCUAGUCUAGUUUGUAAACUCGUAUGGUACCAUAUAAAGCAGAGGAUGGGCUGGAUGAAUUUCUUAGCUUCUUUCCACCUCUCCUCUUUUUGGUAAUGUUCCUUUGGUACAAUGAAGGCUAACAGAAAAAGCCAAUAUUUCUGUUGUGUUUAAUUGUGUUGUCACAAAUAGGGCAUGGUCUAUGCUACAGCUACUGACUCUACUGACUCAAGGGUUGCUCCAGUGUCUUAUAAAGCUAAGGUAUUGUUUGCCAGGCUGCCUGAAUGUCUAUGACACAUUCAUUAUCAUGCACACCACACACAGAGUGACAUAGAUGAUAUCCCUGUGCCUAGGCUUUAAGCAGGUGAGAUGCCAACCCAUCUGCCAUGAAGUAUCUCUAAUGGUGGCCAGGACCCACAAGUAUCUCUGGGGGUUGGGCCCUGAGGGAUGAGGAAUAUUCUCUCAAUUCAUUCAGCCUGAUCCCUGGGUGCCUUUUAUAUCCUUACUGGCUCACACUCUCAUAUAUUACUAUAGACAGACAGAUUAAGAAAACUAAAUAGGGUUUUGUGGUUCCUGCUUUUCAGGCCUCUUGCAGAUAAAUAUCAGGGGAGAAAUAAAGCUCUAUACUAAUGCUAACCUCCCAGACACUAGAAGAAAAAGGUAAAAGAAAACAAUAAAACUUCAAGAUUUCCUCCAGAUCUCCUCUGCUGUAAAUAUCCACCAUUUAGAGGAGGCUAGCCUAAUAGAAGGUGAAAAGUUUGGAGCAUUUGGGCACAGAGCCACCAGGCCCAUAGCUGAUCUAACCUUCCUAUGUGGAAAGCCAUUCCAGUAACCCUUCCUCGGAAUUCAGGAAUAAUUCAGCAGCAACAAAACACGUCUUGGCCAGCAUGUCAUACAGAAAGAGGAAACUAAAUCCCAGAGGGAUGAAGUUACUGCCCCAUGUCCCAGAGCUGAUCCAUUUGGAGUGUGAUUCAGACCCAGGUCAUUGGACUCCAGAGUUGCCUCAGACCCUAUGGCUGUAUUUAUAAAGAUGGCCUUUCGGGAAAUAUUGGCAAUUUUUUGUGUACAAAAAUCCACAAACAAGUCUGUGUCCUCUACUCACCUUCACUUGUUGCCAAAAAACCUGUUGAAAUAAAGUCCAUGGCCUUUUGAAUCCUU
Molecule: non-coding RNA, 1422 nt
Organism: Microcebus murinus (gray mouse lemur)
Lineage: Eukaryota; Metazoa; Chordata; Mammalia; Primates; Cheirogaleidae
Source: RefSeq, a predicted model, not a curated record